Molecule: ribosomal RNA, 278 nt
Filed under: uncultured prokaryote
Description: partial 16S ribosomal RNA
Rfam family: Bacterial small subunit ribosomal RNA
Source: RNAcentral
UACGUAGGUGGCGAGCGUUGUCCGGAUUUACUGGGCGUAAAGGGAGCGUAGGCGGACUUUUAAGUGAGAUGUGAAAUACCCGGGCUCAACUUGGGUGCUGCAUUUCAAACUGGAAGUCUAGAGUGCAGGAGAGGAGAAUGGAAUUCCUAGUGUAGCGGUGAAAUGCGUAGAUAUUGGGAAGAACACCGGUGGCGAAGGCGGCUUUCCGGACAGUAACUGACACUGAGGCACGAAAGCGUGGGGAGCAAACAGGAUUAGAUACCCCCGUAGUCCCUGAG